GGCUUGCGCCAUAUUAGUUAGUUGGUAGGGUAAUGGCCUACCAAGACGAUGAUGUGUAGCUGGACUGAGAGGUUGAACAGCCACAUUGGGACUGAGACACGGCCCAAACUCCUACGGGAGGCAGCAGUAGGGAAUUUUCGGCAAUGGAGGAAACUCUGACCGAGCAACGCCGCGUGAACGACGAAGUACUUUGGUAUGUAAAGUUCUUUUAUCAAGGAAGAAAAGCAAGUGGUGAACCAUUUGUUUGCCGGUACUUGAUGAAUAAGCCCCGGCUAAUUAUGUGCCAGCAGCCGCGGUAAGACAUAAGGGGCAAGUGUUAUCCGGAAUUAUUGGGCGUAAAGGGUGCGUAGGCGGUCUAGUAAGUCAGUGGUGUAAUGGCAACGCUCAACGUUGUCCGGCUAUUGAAACUGUUAAACUUGAGUUAGAUAGAGGCGAGUGGAAUUCCAUGUGUAGCGGUAAAAUGCGUAAAUAUAUGGAGGAACACCAGAGGCGUAGGCGGCUCGCUGGGUCUUAACUGACGCUGAGGCACGAAAGCGUGGGGAGCAAACAGGAUUAGAUACCCUGGUAGUCCACGCCGUAAACGAUGAGUACUAAGUGUCGGGUUAAACCGGUACUGAAGUUAACACAUUAAGUACUCCGCCUGAGUAGUACGUACGCAAGUAUGAAACUUAAAGGAAUUGACGGGACUCCGCACAAGCGGUGGAUCAUGUUGUUUAAUUCGAAGAUACCCGAAAAACCUUACCAGGUCUUGACAUGUUUUUGCGAAACGGUAGUAAUAUCGUGGAGGUUAUCAGAAACACAGGUGGUGCAUGGUUGUCGUCAGCUCGUGUCGUGAGAUGUUAGGUUAAGUCCUAAAACGAGCGAAACCCUUAUCGUUAGUUGCCAGCACGUUAUGGUGGGGACUUUAACGAGACUGCCAGUGAUAAAUUGGAGGAAGGUGAGGAUCACGUCAAAUCAGCAUGCCCCUUAUGACCUGGGCUACAAACGUGAUACAAUGGCUGUUACAAAGGGUAGCUGAAACGCAAGUUCUUGGCCAAUCCCCAAAAACAGUCUCAGUCCGGAUUGAAGUCUGCAACUCGACUUCAUGAAGUGGAAUCGCUAGU
This 1103-nucleotide ribosomal RNA is filed under the name Candidatus Phytoplasma citri. Its description in RNAcentral is "bacterial SSU rRNA". It matches the Rfam family "Bacterial small subunit ribosomal RNA", at positions 228 to 1339 of the family's 1533-position model. Lineage: Bacteria; Bacillati; Mycoplasmatota; Mollicutes; Acholeplasmatales; Acholeplasmataceae. The record is from RNAcentral.